RNAcentral lists this ribosomal RNA (119 nucleotides) under Sphaeramia orbicularis (orbiculate cardinalfish). The record is from RNAcentral. Lineage: Eukaryota; Metazoa; Chordata; Actinopteri; Kurtiformes; Apogonidae.
GCUUACGGCCAUACCACCGUGAACACUCCCGAUCUCGUCUGAUCUCGGCAACAAACCAGGGUCGGGCCUGGUCAGUACUUGGAUUGGAGACAUCCUGGGAAUACCAGGUGCUGUAAGCU